GCGGAUGGGGCGCGUCCCCGCCGGUCGCGCGAGCCUGUUGCCAUGGUAAUGCUCGCCCGGCCGCCCGAGGGGCCGGCGGGAAUGCGGCGCGCUCUGGCAAGAUGGCGUCCGCGAGGUCGCGGGGUGCGCGGUGAGCGCCGGCCGCCGUCGCUCCGCCCGGCCGGUCGCGCUUCAGGUCGGCCCGCCCGCGCGCGCCCCGCGGGCCCAUGGCGGCGACAGGUGCGGGCGCGCGGCGGCUUGCCGGGCUGCCGCGGGCCGGGCGCGCCCCUCGCUAACGCGCGCGUAACUUUUCCUCGCCGCGGCCCCCCGCGGCCUCCGCGCCACGCCCCCCGGGCCGCCGCCCCGCCGAGGUGCCGUCUGCCGGCCGCCGCGGGAGCUAGGAGCGCCGGGAGGCGCGGCUCCACCAUGGCCCUGACCCUGUUCGAUACAGAUGAAUAUAGACCUCCUGUUUGGAAAUCUUACUUAUACCAGCUGCAGCAGGAAGCCCCUCACCCUCGAAGGGUCACCUGCACUUGCGAGGUAGAAAACAGACCAAAGUAUUAUGGAAGAGAGUUUCAUGGCAUGAUCUCUAGAGAAGAGACUGACCAGCUCCUGAGUGUGGCUGAGGGGAGCUACCUCAUCCGUGAGAGCCAGCGGCAGCCCGGAACAUACACUUUGGCUUUAAGCUCCUGCCACCCACCACCUUAUCCUUCCUUCCAUUGCUCCAGCAUUUGUUGGACUUCUUCAUCAGGUGACUCAUGGGUAUCUGUUUCUUUGGGCUAAUACCCAGGAGGUUUGUUGAGUGGUUUCGCUCCUAGACCUUUAUGUGUCUCCGUUUCUUGGCUUUUGUUGUUUUUGGUUUGUUUGGGGCUAGUCCAUUGUCCUGCCCCAACUUGUAUGAAUUUUCAGAACCGGCUGUUCUCUUAUUCCCUGUAUGCUGGUUGUAUACAAGAAAUCUUUUAGCCAUCAGCUUUUUCAAUCAUUUGGAGAACCUCUGGAAUUUUGGGGGUUAGACUGACUUUUUUUUUCUUUUUGGUUUGUGUAUAUAAUCUUCCAAUUGGAGAAGUUUGCCAGCUUCUACCAAAGGAGCUUUUACUCCCUUUCUCCUUUUCUGAUGUUUUAUAUGUGUCAUACCAGGUUCUGAGGUGUAAAGCAGCCAGAUGCCCCACCCCAUACUUCAUUCUCAGCAGCUUUCAGUUAUCCAACAGAGCUGACCUGGUAUAGCCAUGGGUUCUAGACUGAAAGUAUCCUUCCCUUAAUAUUGCAUCUGUACUGCACAUAUACAGAUGUUUUUCUUGUCAUUACCCCCAGAAGAGUAUAGCAUAUGAUGUUUACAAAGCUUACAUUGUAUUAGAUAUUUCAGUACCUGGAGAUAUUGAAAGCAUAUGGAAGACUAUAUGUUUUAUAUGUCUGCUGUGCCAUUUUAUUGAAGGGACCUGAGUUUCUGCAGCAUUUGCUCUCCAUGGAGGUCCUAGAACUAGUCUCCUGUGGACAUUAUAUAGCUGUAUGCCAGAUCCCAAAAUGAGUGCAGCAGACACAAUCCUUUGUACAUCUAAGUAGCCAGAGCCCUUUAUAUAUACCCUGCCCUUCCUCAUUUGCUAAGGGAGAAGUCAUGAUUUGCGUAACCUUGCCCACUCACAGUGAGGUACACUGGACUCUGUGGGUGGCACCACAGGCCCUCUUUUGCUGCAUCAAGCUUGUCCUUGCUCUCAUUGGCUUCACUGCUGCCCUCAUCCAAACAAUGCUGAUUCCAUUAGCAUUCUGUGUCAGGCAAGAGAAAAACUAAGCUCUCAGGAAGCUCUGGAAAAGCCCAAAUGAAUGCAUAUUUCAUUCUUCUCCUCCCACCCACCCAGAGACCACAGGCACUGCUGAGCUGUGCCAACUUGGAGCAAUGCUUACCGCAGAUGACUUGAAAGGCUGUCUGUACCCUUCCAGUGCAUCUCAUCUGAGCUGUGCUCGGACUGCCGAAGCCUUUAAAUUGCUUUCUGAAGAGCUCAGAUAGGUGUUUGAUUUAUAAUUGAUAUAGAACCCUUAUCUUAGUAAAUGUGCCAUUUCCUUUGACUUAACUGCCCUUGCAUGUAUCCUAUACUCCUUGAACCUAGUAGAACAGCAGCCUCGUGAGUCUCUCCUGCUAUCUCCUGGCUAAGGAGCUGCCUGUGGCUCUUGCAAUCUGAGUGUCCUGCCCAGUUUGUUGUAGUUUUAGGUACCUCGUCAGCCAUCGCUCUGCUUCUGCUCUCAGCAGUGAUUAUCCUGCAAACUACACGUUGGCUCUUUCUGCUAAGAUGUCAGAAUUUUGCCAAGCAUUCCAAUAGCUGUUUCCUGCUAGGUUUUUAGGUUCACUGAGAAAUCUCCUGACCUCAGGUGUUGUGACUUUUCAGGAAUGUGCCCAGUGUGUAAGGUUACAUUCGAAUCCCUGUUUCAUGUUUAUGCCUGGUGCAUUUUUCAUAUUGCUAUUAAAUAGAAUUUUCUAAAAGAUCUAAAAGUGUUCUUCAAAUGCAGCUAAGCAGAAGGUACACCUACAGAGAAAGGUUAUUUAUGUGUCCUCCCCACCCCCAUCUUUAAAAAUGAAAUGAGGUCCUUAGGGGCAGGGAGGAAGCCUUAGUCAUCUUGACUGCAGAGGCAUCUACAGAAAUGCAUAUAUGGGUUUGUUCAGUAUGGCAUUGGAUUGUGACUCAUCAGAGUCCUAGUACCUCCUUAGGACACAGUUCUCUGCAUGAAAAAAACAAAAACACAAACAGAACAAAAAACAAAACCAGAGAGCCAUUUUCACUCAGUUCAUUCUAGUAGACAGAUUUGCGAUUCCUUUGCUCCGUUGCUUGAAAGGAUACAUUUUGAUGACUAAUUUAGCCCUGUGCUUUUAAAUCAGUGUAGGUGAUCAGUGACUGAGAACAUGUUGGUCACACAGUCCUGGGUUCAGACUCUGAUUUCUAAGUUCUCUCUUUGACUCUGGACAAGUUACUUAAUCUUGUCUUAGUUUCCUUUGUUGUAAAGGAAAGGAGGAUGUAAUAGCAAUACCUCAUGGAAUUAGGAAGGUUACAUGGCGUAAUAUACAUGCACUUCUAGUGUAGCAUAGCACUGAAAUUAUUGUUGGUAUGGAAAGAAUCAGCUACGUUGUUAGUGGUUAAGUCACUGUUUAUCAGACAUUAAGAAUCAAUAAUUGGCACUCAUAGUUAUGAUAGAAAUAUCUUGGAUUCUCAAAUAUUUGCUAUAUACAUUGAAAUCUUAAGGAUGCCCAGUUCUGAACAUGAGGUUCUUCCCAUGCACUGUGCAUAUAACCUGAGACAUUGUUAUACAGCACGUUAGUGCUCUUCCAUGCUGUGUCAUGUGAGGCUACAUGUAGGGUUUUCUUCUGUACAUCAUGCUAGUCCUCAGAAAUUGGGGUUUUAGCCUAAUUUUAGCCUGGUUAAGAUGACUUAUUUCAGAUUAGAGAUGCUGACUAUGAGUCUCCACUGGAAACAAAGAAUCAGAGUUGCAUAGGCAAAUACAACUUCCUGCCACCACGCCUGGAAAUCCUGGUCUGGUCACUUGAAAUCAGAUGAGCACAAUAGUCAACAGUUUAAAGCAAACCUUUAUGCUAAAGACAGGGGCAUCCAAAAAUAAGUGAACAUAUAUGUUUUACGGUUCCAUUAAUUUAUUAUUUUUACUUUGUUUUAAUUAAUAUGUGUGUAUAUAUGUGACCUUGAGUGUGUGUGCAUUGGAAGUCAGGGGACAACUUUCAGUAGGGUGGUCUUUACUGUGUUUACAGUAGGGGCUGUGCUAUCACUUCUUCUGCCAUACUCUGGGUUGCUGGCUGCCGCCCACCUCACCGUGGGAAUACUGAGGUAACAGCUGAACUUAGGUUGCCGGGCUUUUGUGAGCAGCACUUUUACCUUGUGAGCCAUCUCGCUGGCCUCAUGAUUCUAUUUCUAUAAAACAAACGUGUAAUGGCAGCCAGCAGAAGUGGCUCAGUGCAAUGAAGAGCAGUCAGACAGGCUGUGGAGAAGCACAGGGAAAUUUGGGGAGCUGUUGGGAUGUCUUGCAAUCUUACCCAUGAUUAAAACUUUACUGAAUUGUACUCUAGCAAUGAAUAUGGGAUGCUGUGUAAGUAAUAGGCAUUUGAUGAGGAAAAUGCAGUAAUCUGCUGACCAUUUGUAGAUAGCUGGUACUAAACAUAAAAGCAUGUAAUAGCCCAAAUUCAGCUUCCAAAACAGGGCCUGAAAGCCAGAAGUAAAUGAGGCUGGCUCUGGCUGGCUAAUAGAACCAAGAACACUUGUGUCUGUUGCGAAGGAGCACUUAGUAAGCUCAGUACAGUCUGCUUAGAGUCUAAAGACAUUUUUUAAAAUACCCUUACUAGUGCAGGGGUGUGGUCCUUCAUGACAGGGAGGUCAAGGCGGCAGGAACUCAGAGUAGACAGUCACAGUGUAGCCACAAUCAGGAAAGAGAUGGACGCUCACUGACGCUCAGCUCCCCUCUACUCACACAGUCUGGGCUCCUAGACAUGGAAUGGCACCACCCAUAGUGGAUGACUCUUCCCACCUCAUCUAACACAGUCAAGAUAAUCCCCCACAGGCAUGCUCAAAGGUCCAUCUCCUAGGUGAUUUCUAGACUCUGUCAAGUGACAGCACUCAGCAUCACAGCAAAUCAGUGCCUUACAAUACACUGUAGGAUGUUUCUGCAUCUGCCCAUUAGAGUAAUAUAGUAACGAACCUGGAUCACCAAGAAAAAUACUAAAUCAUAGUCUGUCUGUACUUAGAGUGUUUUCUCAGGCACACCAGAAGAGGGCAUGAGAUCCCAUUACAGAUGGCUGUGAGUCACCAUGUGGUUGCUGGGAAUUGAACUUAGAACCUCUGGAAGAGCAGUCGGUGCUCUUAACCGCUGAGCCAUCCUUUGCUACUUAGAGUGUUUUUAUACCAGAAUUAUUCAAAAAUGGCACUACACCGUAUAAAGGAUUUAAGAAUCUGAGAAACUGUGAGCGUGUAUCCUUAGGUUUGCACACACACACUUGCAUAUGAUAUAGAAUGUUCCAAAGACAUUUGCAUGGAUGUCUGUUUUCUUAGACCUGUGCUGCAGAGUAAAUUUUUCUUCUGAAAUAGAUUCAUUUUAAACAAGAUGUCAGUAACCUUUUGGUGGAACUGAUCAUUAAUUCUUUCUUUCUCUAUUUUGUUUGUUUUGCUUUGCUUUUCAAGACAGGGUUUCUCUGUUUAACAGCCUUGCCAGUCCUAGGACUGGAUUUGUAGUCCAGCCUGUCCUUGAACUCACAGAGAUUUGUUUGAUUUGUUUCCCUCUGCCUUCUGAAUGCUGGGAUUAAAGGUGUAUGCCACCCCCCCCCCCAGCAUCAUUCUUAAGUAAGUGAAAUCUAUUGGUAAUUUUACAAACACAUUGAAUGUUUCUGGAUACACUGUGGUUUCUAAAAGAUUUAGAUAUGUGUAUAAUAUUUUUCUGUAAAUAAAAAUAUAUAAAUGUAUAUAGUUCUUAGUAAAGGGUUUAGGAAGAGUUUUCUGUAUAAGUGAUAAGAUAAAAAUCAGUAUCGAGGUACUCCUGACUCACUAGAGUGGAGAGAGCAUCAUGUAAUCAGUUGUCGGUGUGGAAAGCCCCUUCGUAUGUAUCGCAUACCUCACCACACUGAGAGCACUAAGGAUCUGUAGUGGCAAUGUGGAAUGGUACUAAUAAGCCUGUAGCACUCUCACCGUGUUGACAGUUCUAUAUAAUACCAGUGAACUUUUCAAAAUAAGUUUUGUUGUAUAUGUUGCCAUCUAACUCAGGAGAAAGUAUUAGUGGAAUCAUGUAGAAAUAAUUGUAUAGCAUAUAUUACUUAUUCCCAAGAAUAGAUCUCACUAUGACCUGCAUCUAUGUAUGUCCUUAAGUUUGGUCAUUUUUCAGCCCCUGUUGCACUCUCCAUCCCUCUGUCUUGCACUGAAACCCUUCUUCCCAAAAGAGUCCCCUUAGUUCCCCACUCCCUGUUUUUAGUCAGGCUCUCAGUCUAUAAUCCAGGCCACCUUUGAACUUGUGGCAACUCUCUUGCCUCAGCCUCCUAGGUGCUGUAAUUAGAGCCAUUUGCCACCAUAUUAGGUCUAUUUUGAGUCAAAUUGCUCAGUGGUCAUUUGCUUAUUAGCCAUUGUAAGUGUCAGAUAUUGUGUUAGCCUCUAGUGCUUUAAACCAACAGCCAGUACUAUCUGGCAGCCUUUUUAAGUGUUUCUCUUUUUUCCUUAGAAGCAGUACUGUGUGACCAGCUCUGAGGACGGGGAAAAUAGGAUAUGGAAUGGAAUUUACCAUCACAGCAUUUGAUUUUCUGUUUUACUGGAAUUUAUGCAGUUUCACUUUUUGAAGAUUGUUGAUAUAUGUGUUUGUGACAAGUCAGGGGAAGUACUUAAAUAUAAAAAUAACCUUUGGUAGCUGUGUAUAGUGGCCCACACCUUUAAUCCCAGCAGGAGGACCAGUGGAUCUCUAUGAGUUCAAGGCCAGCCCGUUCUACAUAGCAAGUUCCAAGAUAUACUAUAUAGCCAGAGCUAUAUAGUAGAAAGAUCUUAUCCCAAAAAUCUAUAUUUGUAUCUAUACCUACCUAUAGAUAACCUAUGACAACAGUAGCCAUAUAUGUGUUAUAUUUUUAUUUAUUUGUUUAUUUGUAAAAUAUAAAAAUAUGCUUAUUUGUAAAAUACCCUGUGUUAUAUGUGAAAUAUGGUGUAAUAUUUUGCAGUAUUAUAUUCCUUCAGGAUAAGUAUGUAAACGUAUGCCCAGCCCUAGUACUGGGCUUACAGUGUCAUAGGGUAUGUGUGCCUGUGUUCAACCUGACUGUAUGGUGUAACUAAAUCUCUCUGACAAACAGUGCAGCAGCCAUGGUCUCUGUAGCAAUUCUCUAUAUUUGCUGGUGUUUAGUAAUGUCAGACUUAUUAAACUUUGCCAAUCUGAGGUUUUUAUUUAUAAUUACUGCUCUAUUUUAAGUGCCUUGUUAUAUUUAUCUAUAUAAUAUGAGCCUAUUUUUACAAAGUAUAUAAAUUUCUGUCCUUCCUUUGUGAUUUUCCUAGAUUCUUCUCUUUGAUUUCAGAUUUCCUCUUUGAUUUCUACCGUGACUGUUUACCUUGUGUCUUCUGUGUAGCAUGAUAUAUCUAUGCUUGGCUAACUUCUAUUCAAGAAUCUAAAGAAGAGAUAGCCUAGAGUUUAGCAGGUUAAUGCUUUAAAUAGAUAUUUUUGUCCCUGCGAAUGAUUUCUUUCCCUCAGUUUGUCUUGAUUCUGUCCAUCGUAGUCUUUGUUUUCCCUGAAGUUUUUUCUGAGACACCGUGUGGUUGCUGGAUGAUUACCACACUCUUGGCCCAUAUAUAUACAGCCACCAAAACUAGAUAAGAUGGAUGAAGCUGAAAAGUGCAUGCUGAAAUGGACCAGAUAUAGAGCUCUCCUGAGAGACACAUCCAGAGCAUGUCCAAUACAGAGGUCAAUGCUAGCAGCAAACCACUGAACUGAGAACAGGACCCCCUUGAGGGGAAUUAGAGGAAGGAUUGAAAGAGCUGAAGGGGCUUGCAACCUCAUAAAAACAACAAUGCCAACCAACCAGAGCUUCCAGGGACUAAUCCACUACCCAAAGACUAUACAUGGACUGACCCAGGGCUCCAACUGCAUAUGUAGCAGAGAAGAACCUUAUUGUGGCAGUAGGGAUAGGGGAAGCCCUUGGUCCUGCCAAGGUUGUACCCCCAGUGCAGGGGAAUGUCGGAGUAGGGGGGAGCAGUAAGGGGGAUGGAUGGGAGGAACACCCAUAUGGGGGAGGGGGAAGGAAUGGGGGGCUUAUGGACCAGAAACCGGAAGAGGGAAUAACAUUUGAAAUGUAAAUAAAAAAAUAUAUCUAAUAAAAAAUAAAAUUUAAAAAAAUAAGUCUAACAGAAAAAAAUGUGUAUUUGGCAUUUAGGCUCAGCUGUAAUGCUCAGAACUCAGGGGGUCUGACAGCUACAGGAGGGUGCUUAUUGUAGAGUUAAUGGGAUUUCCCCCAGAGAAGUCUAAUGUCUCCUAUCAGGAAAGGUAAAGUGGAGAUCUCCAUCUCCUUGUUUCUAGAAUGCCACCUCUACCUUCAGAAUGCCUGUGUUCCUUUAGUCUCUGCUCCUUUCUCUCCAAUGUGCUGAACUUAGUUCUCCCGGAAGAGGAUGAGGAGUGAGAUUUGGAAGUCAGACCAGAAACUUCAGGCUGUACUACGAUGGAAAGCACUUUGUUGGGGAGAAACGCUUUGAGUCCAUCCACGAUCUGGUGACUGAUGGCUUGAUUACUCUCUAUAUUGAAACCAAGGCAGCAGAAUACAUUGCCAAGAUGACGAUAAACCCAAUUUAUGAGCACAUAGGAUACACAA
Non-coding RNA from Rattus norvegicus (Norway rat), 8284 nucleotides. The record is from RefSeq and is a predicted model, not a curated record. NCBI's taxonomy places the organism in Eukaryota, Metazoa, Chordata, Mammalia, Rodentia, Muridae.